AGUGAACGCUGGCGGUAGGCCUAACACAUGCAAGUCGAACGGCAGCACAGUAAGAGCUUGCUCUUACGGGUGGCGAGUGGCGGACGGGUGAGGAAUACAUCGGAAUCUACUUUUUCGUGGGGGAUAACGUAGGGAAACUUACGCUAAUACCGCAUACGACCUACGGGUGAAAGCAGGGGAUCUUCGGACCUUGCGCGAUUGAAUGAGCCGAUGUCGGAUUAGCUAGUUGGCGGGGUAAAGGCCCGCCAAGGCGACGAUCCGUAGCUGGUCUGAGAGGAUGAUCAGCCACACUGGAACUGAGACACGGUCCAGACUCCUACGGGAGGCAGCAGUGGGGAAUAUUGGACAAUGGGCGCAAGCCUGAUCCAGCCAUACCGCGUGGGUGAAGAAGGCCUUCGGGUUGUAAAGCCCUUUUGUUGGGAAAGAAAAGCAGCAGGUUAAUACCCCGCUGUUCUGACGGUACCCAAAGAAUAAGCACCGGCUAACUUCGCG
RNAcentral lists this ribosomal RNA (492 nucleotides) under uncultured bacterium. RNAcentral's name for it is "partial 16S ribosomal RNA". It matches the Rfam family "Bacterial small subunit ribosomal RNA", at positions 29 to 507 of the family's 1533-position model. The record is from RNAcentral.